CGAACGCUGGCGGCGUGCUUAACACAUGCAAGUCGAACGGAAAGGCCCUGCUUUUGUGGGGUGCUCGAGUGGCGAACGGGUGAGUAACACGUGAGUAACCUGCCCUUGACUUUGGGAUAACUUCAGGAAACUGGGGCUAAUGCCGGAUAGGAGCUCCUGCUGCAUGGUGGGGGUUGGAAAGUUUCGGCGGUUGGGGAUGGACUCGCGGCUUAUCAGCUUGUUGGUGGGGUAGUGGCUUACCAAGGCUUUGACGGGUAGCCGGCCUGAGAGGGUGACCGGCCACAUUGGGACUGAGAUACGGCCCAGACUCCUACGGGAGGCAGCAGUGGGGAAUAUUGCACAAUGGGCGGAAGCCUGAUGCAGCAACGCCGCGUGCGGGAUGACGGCCUUCGGGUUGUAAACCGCUUUCGCCUGUGACGAAGCGUGAGUGACGGUAAUGGGUAAAGAAGCACCGGCUAACUACGUG
RNAcentral lists this ribosomal RNA (466 nucleotides) under uncultured bacterium. Its description in RNAcentral is "partial 16S ribosomal RNA". It matches the Rfam family "Bacterial small subunit ribosomal RNA", at positions 30 to 507 of the family's 1533-position model. The record is from RNAcentral.